CCUACGGGGAGCAGCAGUGGGGAAUAUUGCACAAUGGGGGAAACCCUGAUGCAGCGACGCCGCGUGAGUGAAGAAGUAUCUCGGUACGUAAAGCUCUAUCAGCAGGGAAGAAAAUGACGGUACCUGACUAAGAAGCCCCGGCUAACUACGUGCCAGCAGCCGCGGUAAUACGUAGGGGGCAAGCGUUAUCCGGAUUUACUGGGUGGAAAGGGAGCGUAGACGGCAGCGCAAGUCUGGAGUGAAAUCCCGGGGCGAAACCCCGGAACUGCUUUGGAAAGUGGGCGGCUGGAGUGCAGGAGGGGUAAGCGGAAUGCCUAGUGUAGCGGUGAAAUGCGGAGAUAUUAGGGGGAACACCGGUGGCGAAGGCGGCUUAAUGGACUGUAACUGACGUUGAGGCUCGAAAGCGUGGGGAGCAAACAGGAUGAGAUACCAUAGUAGUC
This 440-nucleotide ribosomal RNA is filed under the name uncultured bacterium. Its description in RNAcentral is "partial 16S ribosomal RNA". It matches the Rfam family "Bacterial small subunit ribosomal RNA", at positions 338 to 795 of the family's 1533-position model. The record is from RNAcentral.